UGAGACACGGCCCAGACUCCUACGGGAGGCAGCAGUGGGGAAUAUUGCACAAUGGGCGAAAGCCUGAUGCAGCGACGCCGCGUGAGGGAUGACGGCCUUCGGGUUGUAAACCUCUUUCAGCAGGGAAGAAGCGAAAGUGACGGUACCUGCAGAAGAAGCGCCGGCUAACUACGUGCCAGCAGCCGCGGUAAUACGUAGGGCGCAAGCGUUAUCCGGAAUUAUUGGGCGUAAAGAGCU
Molecule: ribosomal RNA, 237 nt
Filed under: Arthrobacter koreensis
Lineage: Bacteria; Bacillati; Actinomycetota; Actinomycetes; Micrococcales; Micrococcaceae
Description: partial 16S ribosomal RNA
Rfam family: Bacterial small subunit ribosomal RNA
Source: RNAcentral